AGUGGCGAACGGGUGAGUAAUAUAUCGGAACGUACCCUGGAGUGGGGGAUAACGUAGCGAAAGUUACGCUAAUACCGCAUACGAUCUAAGGAUGAAAGUGGGGGAUUCGCAAGAACCUCAUGCUCCUGGAGCGGCCGAUAUCUGAUUAGCUAGUUGGUAGGGUAAAAGCCUACCAAGGCAUCGAUCAGUAGCUGGUCUGAGAGGACGACCAGCCACACUGGAACUGAGACACGGUCCAGACUCCUACGGGAGGCAGCAGUGGGGAAUUUUGGACAAUGGGCGCAAGCCUGAUCCAGCAAUGCCGCGUGAGUGAAGAAGGCCUUCGGGUUGUAAAGCUCUUUUGUCAGGGAAGAAACGGUGUUUUCUAAUACAGAGCGCUAAUGACGGUACCUGAAGAAUAAGCACCGGCUAACUACGUGCCAGCAGCCGCGGUAAUACGUAGGGUGCAAGCGUUAAUCGGAAUUACUGGGCGUAAAGCGUGCGCAGGCGGUUUUGUAAGACUGUCGUGAAAUCCCCGGGCUCAACCUGGGAAUGGCGAUGGUGACUGCAAGGCUAGAGUUUGGCAGAGGGGGGUAGAAUUCCACGUGUAGCAGCGAAAUGCGUAGAUAUGUGGAGGAACACCGAUGGCGAAGGCAGCCCCCUGGGUCAAAACUGACGCUCAUGCACGAAAGCGUGGGGAGCAAACAGGAUUAGAUACCCUGGUAGUCCACGCCCUAAACGAUGUCUACUAGUUGUCGGGUUUUAAUUAACUUGGUAACGCAGCUAACGCGUGAAGUAGACCGCCUGGGGAGUACGGUCGCAAGAUUAAAACUCAAAGGAAUUGACGGGGACCCGCACAAGCGGUGGAUGAUGUGGAUUAAUUCGAUGCAACGCGAAAAACCUUACCUACCCUUGACAUGGCAGAAAUCCUCGAGAGAUUGAGGAGUGCUCGAAAGAGAAUCUGCACACAGGUGCUGCAUGGCUGUCGUCAGCUCGUGUCGUGAGAUGUUGGGUUAAGUCCCGCAACGAGCGCAACCCUUGUCAUUAGUUGCUACGAAAGAGCACUCUAAUGAGACUGCCGGUGACAAACCGAGGAAGGUGGGGAUGACGUCAAGUCCUCAUGGCCCUUAUGGGUAGGGCUUCACACGUCAUACAAUGGUACAUACAGAGGGCCGCCAACCCGCGAGGGGGAGCUAAUCCCAGAAAGUGUAUCGUAGUCCGGAUUGUAGUCUGCAACUCGACUGCAUGAAGUUGGAAUCGCUAGUAAUCGCGGAUCAGCAUGUCGCGGUGAAUACGUUCCCGGGUCUUGUACACACCGCCCGUCA
This 1304-nucleotide ribosomal RNA is filed under the name uncultured Duganella sp. RNAcentral describes it as "bacterial SSU rRNA". It matches the Rfam family "Bacterial small subunit ribosomal RNA", at positions 94 to 1399 of the family's 1533-position model. Lineage: Bacteria; Pseudomonadati; Pseudomonadota; Betaproteobacteria; Burkholderiales; Oxalobacteraceae. The record is from RNAcentral.